CCUACGGGAGGCAGCAGUGAGGAAUAUUGGUCAAUGGUCGGGAGACUGAACCAGCCAAGCCGCGUGAGGGAUGAAGGUACAGAGUAUCGUAAACCUCUUUUGUCAGGGAACAAAGGCGGGGACGUGUCCCCUGAUGAGUGUACCUGAAGAAAAAGCAUCGGCUAACUCCGUGCCAGCAGCCGCGGUAAUACGGAGGAUGCGAGCGUUAUCAGGAUUUAUUGGGUUUAAAGGGUGCGCAGGCGGUCUGUUAAGUCAGUGGUUCAAGCCCGGGGCUCAACCCCGGCCCGCCGUUGAAACUGGCAGUCUCGAGUUGGAGAGAAGUAUGCGGAAUGCGCGGUGUAGCGGUGAAAUGCAUAGAUAUCGCGCAGAACUCCGAUUGCGAAGGCAGCAUGCCGGCUCCACACUGACGCUGAGGCACGAAAGCGUGGGUAUCGAACAGGAUUAGAUACCCCUGGUAGUC
This 460-nucleotide ribosomal RNA is filed under the name uncultured bacterium. RNAcentral's name for it is "partial 16S ribosomal RNA". It matches the Rfam family "Bacterial small subunit ribosomal RNA", at positions 338 to 795 of the family's 1533-position model. The record is from RNAcentral.